Molecule: long non-coding RNA, 385 nt
Organism: Chinchilla lanigera (long-tailed chinchilla)
Lineage: Eukaryota; Metazoa; Chordata; Mammalia; Rodentia; Chinchillidae
Exons: 2
Source: RefSeq, a predicted model, not a curated record
AAAAAAAAGAAUUUUCUCCAAAGAAAUCCUUCUUAUUUUUCUUUAAUAUCACCCAAGCUAAGGAUUCUGAUAAAGGGAUAAGAAGAGCAUUUCUCUUCAGAGAGUCUUAUGACCUAAAUGAAGAGACAAGGGCGGCAAAACCCAGGGAUACCUUCUUGAAGCUGUCAUUCCUCAAAUUCCUUCAGCUUAAAACCUUUCAUCUACCAAGGUGCCAAAUUUUGUGAUAAUGUGUUGUGAAACAGAGUGAUUGCUAAUACAUCUGCACCCUGUGGAUGCCCCUUCAGACUUAUUGGAAAGUCAGGUCUCUCCAUGUAUCCCCAAAACCAACAAGCUCCAGAGAAAAAAAUUUUAAAUCUCUAUCAAAAAAUAAAAGAUUGCAUCAGUC